GACGAACGCUGGCGGCGUGCCUAAUACAUGCAAGUAGAACGCUGAAGCUUGGUGCUUGCCCCGAGCGGAUGAGUUGCGCACGGGUGAGUAACGCGUAGGUAACCUGCCUGGUAGCGGGGGAUAACUAUUGGAAACGAUAGCUAAUACCGCAUAAGAGUAGAUGUUGCAUGACAUUUGCUUAAAAGGUGCAAUUGCAUCACUACCAGCUGGACCUGCGUUGUAUUAGCUAGUUGGUGAGGUAACGGCUCACCAAGGCAACGAUACAUAGCCGACCUGAGAGGGGGAUCAGCCACACUGGAACUGAGACACGGCCCAGACUCCUACGGGAGGCAGCAGUGGGGAAUUUUGGACAAUGGGCGAAAGCCUGACCAAGCAAGCCCGCGUGGGUGAAGAAGGUUUCGGGUCGUAAAGGUCUGUUUUAAGGGAAGAAAGAGUGUGAGAGUGGAAAGUUCACACUGUGACGGUAUCUAACCAGAAAGGAACGGCUAACUACGUG
This 496-nucleotide ribosomal RNA is filed under the name uncultured bacterium. Its description in RNAcentral is "partial 16S ribosomal RNA". It matches the Rfam family "Bacterial small subunit ribosomal RNA", at positions 28 to 507 of the family's 1533-position model. The record is from RNAcentral.